GUGGUCCCACCUGACCCCAUGCCGAACUCAGAAGUGAAACGCCGUAGCGCCGAUGGUAGUGUGGGGUCUCCCCAUGCGAGAGUAGGACACUGCCAAGCA
RNAcentral lists this ribosomal RNA (99 nucleotides) under Serratia marcescens. The record is from RNAcentral. RNAcentral also lists the same sequence under 2 other names. Lineage: Bacteria; Pseudomonadati; Pseudomonadota; Gammaproteobacteria; Enterobacterales; Yersiniaceae.